This 307-nucleotide unclassified non-coding RNA is filed under the name plant metagenome. RNAcentral's name for it is "partial contains 5.8S ribosomal RNA, internal transcribed spacer 2, and large subunit ribosomal RNA". The stretch from base 1 to 105 matches the Rfam family "5.8S ribosomal RNA", at positions 50 to 154 of the family's 154-position model. The record is from RNAcentral.
GAAAUGCGAUAAGUAAUGUGAAUUGCAGAAUUCAGUGAAUCAUCGAAUCUUUGAACGCACAUUGCGCCCGCCAGCACUCUGGCGGGCAUGCCUGUUCGAGCGUCAUUUCAACCCUCAGAACCCCUUGCGGGAUCUGGCGUUGGGGAUUGGCAUCCAGCCAGCCCCGAAAUCUAGUGGCGGUCCCUCCGCGACCUCCCCUGUGCAGUAGCGAUACCUUGCAGCGGGACAGCGGUCUGACCACGCCGUAAAACCCCCAACUUCUCAAGGUUGACCUCGAAUCAGGUAGGAAUACCCGCUGAACUUAAGC